AUUGAACGCUGGCGGCAGGCCUAACACAUGCAAGUCGAACGAGUGGCGGACGGGUGAGUAAUGUCUGUGAAACUGCCCGAUGGAGGGGGAUAACUACUGGAAACGGUAGCUAAUACCGCAUCCCAUCGGAUGUGCCCAGAUGGGAUUAGCUUGUAGGUGAGGUAACGGCUCACCGAGGCGACGAUCCCUAGCUGGUCUGAGAGGAUGACCAGCCAAACGGGAACUGAGACACGGUCCAGACUCCGACGGUAGGCAGCAGUGGGGAAUAUGGCGCAAUGGGCGCAAUCCUGAGGCAGCCAUGCCGAGGGUAUGAAGAAGGCCUUCGGGUUGUAAAGUACUUUCAGCGGGGAGGCGGGAACCGCAGAAGAAUCACCGGCUAACUCCGUGCCAGCAGCCGCGGUAAUAC
This 406-nucleotide ribosomal RNA is filed under the name uncultured bacterium. RNAcentral describes it as "partial 16S ribosomal RNA". It matches the Rfam family "Bacterial small subunit ribosomal RNA", at positions 29 to 526 of the family's 1533-position model. The record is from RNAcentral.